RNAcentral lists this ribosomal RNA (423 nucleotides) under uncultured bacterium. RNAcentral's name for it is "partial 16S ribosomal RNA". It matches the Rfam family "Bacterial small subunit ribosomal RNA", at positions 360 to 775 of the family's 1533-position model. The record is from RNAcentral.
AAUUUUGGACAAUGGGGGCAACCCUGAUCCAGCCAUCCCGCGUGUGCGAUGAAGGCCUGCGGGUUGUAAAGCACUUUUGGCAGGGGAGAAAAGGCGCCGGAUAAUACCUAGCGCCGCCGACGUACCCUGCAGAAUCAGCAGCGGCCACCUACGUGCCAGCAGCCGCGGUAAUCCGUAGGGUGCAAGCGUUAAUCGGAAUUACUGGGCGUAAAGCGUGCGCAGGCGGUUCGGAAAGAAAGAUGUGAAAUCCCAGGGCUUAACCUUGGAACUGCAUUUUUAACUGCCGGGCUAGAGUAUGUCAGAGGGGGGUAGAAUUCCACGUGUAGCAGUGAAAUGCGUAGAGAUGUGGAGGAAUACCGAUGGCGAAGGCAGCCCCCUGGGAUAAUACUGACGCUCAUGCACGAAAGCGUGGGGAGCAAACAG